Molecule: unclassified non-coding RNA, 382 nt
Filed under: soil metagenome
Description: partial contains 5.8S ribosomal RNA, internal transcribed spacer 2, and large subunit ribosomal RNA
Rfam family: 5.8S ribosomal RNA (bases 1-120)
Source: RNAcentral
GAUGAAGAACGCACCGAAAUGCGAUAAGUAAUGUGAAUUGCAGAAUUCAGUGAAUCAUCGAAUCUUUGAACGCACCUUGCACCCUUUGGCAUUCCGAAGGGUAUGCUCGUUUGAGUGUCAUAGUACUCUCACUCUCCCGAUACUUUUGGAUCGGGAGUGGUGGACUUGGGUGCUGCUGCUUAACUGUGGCUCGCCUUAAAUGAAGUAGUGCAACUCUCGGUUGGACAUAGUACGGCGUGAUAAGUGUCUUCGCCGGCGCCUCAUUCGAGGGUGGCCGAUCGGGAGCUCUGUGCUUCAAACUGUCUUCGGACAACAUCUGACAACUUGACCUCAAAUCGAGUAGGACUACCCGCUGAACUUAAGCAUAUCAAUAAGCGGAGGA